GCCACCGUAGCUCAACCGGCAGAGCUCUCGCCUUGUAAGCGAGCGGUUACGGGUUCGAAUCCCGUCGGUGGCU
Molecule: transfer RNA, 73 nt
Filed under: Anaerolineaceae bacterium
Lineage: Bacteria; Bacillati; Chloroflexota; Anaerolineae; Anaerolineales; Anaerolineaceae
Description: tRNA-Thr
Rfam family: tRNA
About the family: Transfer RNA (tRNA) molecules are approximately 80 nucleotides in length. Their secondary structure includes four short double-helical elements and three loops (D, anti-codon, and T loops). Further hydrogen bonds mediate the characteristic L-shaped molecular structure. tRNAs have two regions of fundamental functional importance: the anti-codon, which is responsible for specific mRNA codon recognition, and the 3' end, to which the tRNAs corresponding amino acid is attached (by aminoacyl-tRNA synthetases). tRNAs cope with the degeneracy of the genetic code in two manners: having more than one tRNA (with a specific anti-codon) for a particular amino acid; and 'wobble' base-pairing, i.e. permitting non-standard base-pairing at the 3rd anti-codon position.
Source: RNAcentral